AACNCUGGCGGCAGGCUUAACACAUGCAAGUCGAGCGCCCCGCAAGGGGAGCGGCAGACGGGUGAGUAACGCGUGGGAACGUACCCUUUACUACGGAAUAACGCAUGGAAACGUGUGCUAAUACCGUAUGUGCCCUUUGGGGGAAAGAUUUAUCGGUAAAGGAUCGGCCCGCGUUGGAUUAGCUAGUUGGUGGGGUAAAGGCCUACCAAGGCGACGAUCCAUAGCUGGUCUGAGAGGAUGAUCAGCCACAUUGGGACUGAGACACGGCCCAAACUCCUACGGGAGGCAGCAGUGGGGAAUAUUGGACAAUGGGCGCAAGCCUGAUCCAGCCAUGCCGCGUGAGUGAUGAAGGCCCUAGGGUUGUAAAGCUCUUUCACCGGUGAAGAUAAUGACGGUAACCGGAGAAGAAGCCCCGGCUAACUUCGUGCCAGCAGCCGCGGUAAUACGAAGGGGGCUAGCGUUGUUCGGAUUUACUGGGCGUAAAGCGCACGUAGGCGG
RNAcentral lists this ribosomal RNA (498 nucleotides) under proteobacterium D198b. Its description in RNAcentral is "bacterial SSU rRNA". It matches the Rfam family "Bacterial small subunit ribosomal RNA", at positions 32 to 578 of the family's 1533-position model. The record is from RNAcentral. Lineage: Bacteria; Pseudomonadati; Pseudomonadota.